Non-coding RNA from Misgurnus anguillicaudatus (oriental weatherfish), 1120 nucleotides. The record is from RefSeq and is a predicted model, not a curated record. Lineage: Eukaryota; Metazoa; Chordata; Actinopteri; Cypriniformes; Cobitidae.
AGAAAAGUGAAUUCUGAGAUUUGAAUAAUGCAUCUGACGUGUGGGAUGACGUCACGACGCACGUAUUUUGAUUUUUACCAGUCGCUCAAGACAGACGGAUUCAGUCCCAAGAGAAAAGUGAAUUCUGAGAUUUGAAUAAUGCAUCUGACGUGUGGGAUGACGUCACGACGCACGUAUUUUGAUUUUUACCAGUCGUUCAAGACAGACGGAUUCAGUCCCAAGAAGUUAAAGUUUUUCAAAGACAUUUGUAGGGAGGACUUUGCAGCUAAUGGUAAGUCAUUUUAAACUCUUAAGAUAUAAUAAUUCAUUCGUAGUAGUAAAUCAAGCUUCAGUUUAGAUAACGUUAUAUACAUAUUGAGGCGGUUUCCCGGACAGGGAUUAGACUAGUCCUAGACUAAAAUAAAUGUAAGAGCUGUCCAAACUGAAAACAACUUGCACUGACAUAUCUUAAAAUACACCAGUGUCCUUUUUUUGCCUCAAAAUGCACACAGGUAAUGUUUUUAUUAAGGCAUGUUUUUUGAAACUAGUUAUAUUUCUUAAUUAAACUAAGGCCUAGUCCAGUUUUAAGCUAAUCCCUUUACAGGAAACCACCCAAUUGUGUGCUUGUUGCAUUUUCUUUCUGACAAGUUUUACAUUUAAAUUUAAUACAAUAAAAUCUUUCUUUAGGAGCUGAAGUAUUUUAUGUAAGGAGGAUUUUGCAGCCCAUAUAGGCAAGUCAUUAUAAUGAAAACUCUUAGGGGUGGUUUCCCGGACAGGGAUUAGCUUUAUCCAGGACUAGACCUUAGUUUAAUUAGGAUAGUUUUAACAAACAUGCCUUACUAAAAACAUUACUUAUGUGCAUUACGAUGUAAAACAAAGGGCACUGAUGUAUUUUAAGAUAUGUCAGAGCAAGUUGUUUUCCGUUUGGACAGCUCUUACAUUUAUUUUAGUCUGGGACUAGUCUAAUUCCUGUCUGGGAAACCGCCCCUUAAUAUAUAUGAUGACAUUUUAGUCAAGCUCUAGUUUAGGGAAAAAUAUAUCUGCUAUACAAUCUCUGCCAGUAAACUAUAGAUUUAAUACGGUAAGUCUUAAAUAAAUGUAAUGUUUUAAUAUUAAACACUUUUUAAUUGAGCUUAUUGUC